UGGCGUUAGAGACCAGGAUGCGGUGU
RNAcentral lists this non-coding RNA (26 nucleotides) under Homo sapiens (human). The record is from RNAcentral. Lineage: Eukaryota; Metazoa; Chordata; Mammalia; Primates; Hominidae.